CCUACGGGUGGCAGCAGUGAGGAAUAUUGGUCAAUGGGCGCGAGCCUGAACCAGCCACGUAGCGUGAAGGAAGACGGCCCUACGGGUUUUAAACUUCUUUUGUAAGGGAAUAAAGUGAGGCACUUGUGCCUGUUUGUAUGUACUUUAUGAAUAAGGAUCGGCUAACUCCGUGCCAGCAGCCGCGGUAAUACGGAGGAUCCGAGCGUUAUCCGGAUUUAUUGGGUUUAAAGGGAGCGUAGAUGGGUUGGUAAGUCAGUUGUGAAAGUUGGGGGCUCAACCGUAAGAUUGCAAUUGAUACUGGCAGCCUUGAGUACAGGAGAGGUAGGCGGAAUUCGUGGUGUAGCGGUGAAAUGCGUAGAUAUCACGAAGAACUCCGAUUGCGAAGGCAGCUUACUAAACUGCCACUGACAUUGAGGCUCGAAAGCGUGGGUAGCAAACAGGAUUAGAUACCCCAGUAGUC
This 460-nucleotide ribosomal RNA is filed under the name uncultured bacterium. RNAcentral describes it as "partial 16S ribosomal RNA". It matches the Rfam family "Bacterial small subunit ribosomal RNA", at positions 338 to 795 of the family's 1533-position model. The record is from RNAcentral.